AAGGUAGCAUAAUCAUUUGUUCUUUAAUUGGGGGCUGGCAUGAAAGGUUUAACUGGAGAUAGGUGUCUUUUUUAUAAAAGAGUAAUUUGUAUUUUGAGUUAAAAUACUUAAUUGAACUUAAGGGACGAUAAGACCCUAAAAGCUUUAUUUUAAGUAAGUGCGUUUUGCUGAUCUUUAAAGUAAUUUAGCUGGGGUAGCUGGUUUAAUUAAACUAAAUCGGUUAAGAGACUCUUUGAGAGGUUGAAGGUCCUUUAUAUAAGGAUACAUAGAUACAGUUACUUUAGGGAUAACAGCGUGAUAGUUUUGGUGAGAUCUUAUCUAUAAGGCUGAUUGCGACCUCGAUGUUGAAUUAUAAGUUCUUUGCAGUGCAGCAGCUGUGAAAGAAGGUUUGUUCAACCUUUAAAUUUUUACGUGAUCU
RNAcentral lists this ribosomal RNA (418 nucleotides) under Cyclocaris sp. CCZ 004. RNAcentral's name for it is "partial large subunit ribosomal RNA". It matches the Rfam family "Bacterial large subunit ribosomal RNA", at positions 1953 to 2606 of the family's 2925-position model. Lineage: Eukaryota; Metazoa; Arthropoda; Malacostraca; Amphipoda; Lysianassidae. The record is from RNAcentral.